Molecule: non-coding RNA, 73 nt
Organism: Ichthyophthirius multifiliis
Lineage: Eukaryota; Ciliophora; Oligohymenophorea; Hymenostomatida
Source: the annotation of a RefSeq genome assembly
GUGGUUGUAGCUCAGUUGGAAGAGUGCAAGAUUGUGGCUCUUGCGGUCGUGAGAUCGAAACUCACCAACCACA